UACGUACUGUGCGAACGUUAUUCGGAAUCACUGGGCUUAAAGGGUGCGUAGGCGGUUAUUUAAGUAGGAUGUGAAAUCUCCCGGCUCAACCGGGGAACUGCGUUCUAAACUGGAUAACUUGAGUAAGAUAGAGGUGUGCGGAACUUCCGGUGGAGCGGUGAAAUGUGUUGAUAUCGGAGGGAACACCGUUGGCGAAAGCGGCACACUGGGUCUUAACUGACGCUGAGGCACGAAAGCCAGGGGAGCAAACGGGAUUAGAUACCCCGGUA
This 269-nucleotide ribosomal RNA is filed under the name uncultured prokaryote. RNAcentral describes it as "partial 16S ribosomal RNA". It matches the Rfam family "Bacterial small subunit ribosomal RNA", at positions 524 to 792 of the family's 1533-position model. The record is from RNAcentral.